AGUGGCGAACGGGUGAGUAACACGUGAGUAAUCUGCCCCUGACUCUGGGAUAAGCCUGGGAAACUGGGUCUAAUACCGGAUAUGACUCCUCAUCGCAUGGUGGGGGGUGGAAAGCUUUAUUGUGGUUUUGGAUGGACUCGCGGCCUAUCAGCUUGUUGGUGAGGUAAUGGCUCACCAAGGCGACGACGGGUAGCCGGCCUGAGAGGGCGACCGGCCACACUGGGACUGAGACACGGCCCAGACUCCUACGGGAGGCAGCAGUGGGGAAUAUUGCACAAUGGGCGGAAGCCUGAUGCAGCGACGCCGCGUGAGGGAUGACGGCCUUCGGGUUGUAAACCUCUUUCAGCAGGGAAGAAGCGCAAGUGACGGUACCUGCAGAAGAAGCACCGGCCAACUACGUGCCAGCAGCCGCGGUAAUACGUAGGGUGCAAGCGUUGUCCGGAAUUAUUGGGCGUAAAGAGCUCGUAGGCGGUCUGUCGCGUCGGCUGUGAAAACUCGGGGCUCAACCCCGAGCCUGCAGUCGAUACGGGCAGACUAGAGGUAUGCAGGGGAGAACGGAAUUCCUGGUGUAGCGGUGGAAUGCGCGGAUAUCAGGAGGAACACCGGUGGCGAAGGCGGUUCUCUGGGCAUUACCUGACGCUGAGGAGCGAAAGUGUGGGGAGCGAACAGGAUUAGAUACCCUGGUAGUCCACACCGUAACGUUUGGCGCUAGGUGUGGGACUCAUUUCACGAGUUCCGUGCCGCAGCUAACGCAUUAAGCGCUCCCGCCUGGGGA
Molecule: ribosomal RNA, 775 nt
Filed under: uncultured bacterium
Lineage: Bacteria
Description: bacterial SSU rRNA
Rfam family: Bacterial small subunit ribosomal RNA
Source: RNAcentral